Molecule: ribosomal RNA, 495 nt
Filed under: uncultured bacterium
Lineage: Bacteria
Description: partial 16S ribosomal RNA
Rfam family: Bacterial small subunit ribosomal RNA
Source: RNAcentral
GACGAACGCUGGCGGCGUGCCUAAUACAUGCAAGUAGAACGCUGAAGGAGGAGCUUGCUUCUCUGGAUGAGUUGCGAACGGGUGAGUAACGCGUAGGUAACCUGCCUGGUAGCGGGGGAUAACUAUUGGAAACGAUAGCUAAUACCGCAUAACAGUAGAUACCGCAUGAUAUCUACUUGAAAGGUGCAAUUGCAUCACUACCAGAUGGACCUGCGUUGUAUUAGCUAGUUGGUGAGGUAACGGCUCACCAAGGCGACGAUACAUAGCCGACCUGAGAGGGUGAUCGGCCACACUGGGACUGAGACACGGCCCAGACUCCUACGGGAGGCAGCAGGAGGGAAUCUUCGGCAAUGGACGGAAGUCUGACCGAGCAACGCCGCGUGAGUGAAGAAGGUUUUCGGAUCGUAAAGCUCUGUUGUAAGAGAAGAACGAGUGUGAGAGUGGAAAGUUCACACUGUGACGGUAUCUUACCAGAAAGGGACGGCUAACUACGUG